This 253-nucleotide ribosomal RNA is filed under the name uncultured bacterium. RNAcentral describes it as "partial 16S ribosomal RNA". It matches the Rfam family "Bacterial small subunit ribosomal RNA", at positions 524 to 776 of the family's 1533-position model. The record is from RNAcentral.
UACGGAGGGUGCGAGCGUUAAUCGGAAUUACUGGGCGUAAAGCGCGCGUAGGUGGCUUAGUAAGUCGGGUGUGAAAGCCCCAGGCUCAACCUGGGAAUUGCAUUCGAUACUGCUAGGCUAGAGUAUGGGAGAGGGAAGUGGAAUUCCGGGUGUAGCGGUGAAAUGCGUAGAUAUCCGGAGGAACACCAGUGGCGAAGGCGGCUUCCUGGACCAAUACUGACACUGAGGCGCGAAAGCGUGGGGAGCAAACAGG